CAGAACCGCUAGUCCGUAAAACCGUUAAAAAACCGGUACGAACAGGUCUGAACCGGUGAAAACCGGAAGAACCGGUCCCGGUUUUACAAAACCGGCCGGUCCAGAUUUUUUAUUAAAAAAACUAAUCUUUUUUUUUCUUUUCAGUUUUUUACUUUCCGUUUUUUUUUUUUUUUGACAUAUAUACAAUUAUGCAGCAAUUAUUUCAAAUGGUUGUG
Molecule: long non-coding RNA, 215 nt
Filed under: Trifolium pratense (red clover)
Lineage: Eukaryota; Viridiplantae; Streptophyta; Magnoliopsida; Fabales; Fabaceae
Description: long non-coding RNA (TPRA_LNC005351)
Source: RNAcentral